GACGAACGCUGGCGGCGUGCCUAAUACAUGCAAGUUGAGCGCUGAAGGUUGGUACUUGUACCAACUGGAUGAGCAGCGAACGGGUGAGUAACGCGUGGGGAAUCUGCCUUUGAGCGGGGGACAACAUUUGGAAACGAAUGCUAAUACCGCAUAAAAACUUUAAACACAAGUUUUAAGUUUGAAAGAUGCAAUUGCAUCACUCAAAGAUGAUCCCGCGUUGUAUUAGCUAGUUGGUGAGGUAAAGGCUCACCAAGGCGAUGAUACAUAGCCGACAUGAGAGGGUGAUCGGCCAGUGUGGGACUGAGACACGUCCCAAACUCCUACGGGAGGCAGCAGUAGGGAAUCUGCGGCAAUGGACGAAAGUCUGACCGAGCAACGCCGCGUGAGUGAAGAAGGUUUUCGGAUCGUAAAACUCUGUUGGUAGAGAAGAACGUUGGUGAGAGUGGAAAGCUCAUCAAGUGACGGUAACUACCCAGAAAGGGACGGCUAACUACGUGCCAGCCGCCGCGGUAA
This 513-nucleotide ribosomal RNA is filed under the name uncultured bacterium. RNAcentral's name for it is "partial 16S ribosomal RNA". It matches the Rfam family "Bacterial small subunit ribosomal RNA", at positions 28 to 523 of the family's 1533-position model. The record is from RNAcentral.